Molecule: transfer RNA, 71 nt
Filed under: Schizoneuraphis gallarum
Lineage: Eukaryota; Metazoa; Arthropoda; Insecta; Hemiptera; Hormaphididae
Description: tRNA-Cys
Source: RNAcentral
AACUUUAUAUUCAAAAAAAUGAUAUUAAAUUGCAAAUUUAAAGGUAUUGAAUUUUUAUUUAAUUAAGGUUU